This 263-nucleotide unclassified non-coding RNA is filed under the name plant metagenome. RNAcentral's name for it is "partial contains small subunit ribosomal RNA, internal transcribed spacer 1, and 5.8S ribosomal RNA". The record is from RNAcentral.
UUUCCGUAGGUGAACCUGCGGAAGGAUCAUUAUUGUGUAACCGAGGUGCGAGGGCUGUCGCUGACCCGAAAGGUCGUGCACGCCCGAGUGCCCUCACACACAUCCACCUCACCCCUAUGUGCACCACCGCGUGGGUCCCCCUUUGGCUUGUUCGGAGGGGGGCUUACGUUUUCACACAAACUUUGUAUGCAGUGUAGAAUGUAUUUUUUGUUUUUGCGAUCACGCAAUCAAUACAACUUUCAACAACGGAUCUCUUGGCUCUC